GCUCCGGCCGCCGCCGCCGCCGCCUCCUUCUUGCAUGACACAGCAGAACCGCAGCUGCUGCAGCAAGUCCCAACCAUCCGCCCAGGAAGCGCCGCAACCGGGACUCGGGAGGGGCAGAGGGGGGCGAGGCUGGGGCCACCGCCGAGGGGGAUUCUUGCCCCCACUUUGCACCACACACUUGUUUCCCAACCCAGGGGCAUGGGAACAAAAUCAGGCUAAAGCCGACAAGGCCGAGCCGUUGAGGAGUGCUGGGGUUUGGCGUCAGAAGGGAUGGGACCAGAGAGAAGGGUGCGAAGGAGACCCCAGUAGGGGCAGGACAUUGCAGGGAAGGAAGAGGCCGAGAAGUCAAGGGCCAGGCUGUGAAGGAGAAUAAAGGAGGUCAAAGAGAGGUCACAUCUACGUACCUCACUUCCUGACACAAACAAGUUUUUACUGUUGUCAGCAACAAAGCCCUAAUAUAGCUGCGGAAGAGAAAAACUGCAUUGCAUUUAGCCUCCUGCAAGCAUCAUCAACAGUUACCGGAGGAAUGUAAUUCCAGAAAGCUUUAAAGCUGGUGGUGAUGGUAAUUAUGUAUCAGAUGCCUGAUUCUAUUUCUGUUAUUAUUGUUUUGUCAUUUCUGUUCUACCCAAGAGCUGGCUGAACUCGCAGAGAGACGAAUCCAGUUUUUCUUCUUGACUUGGUACAAAAUUAAUCAGACCUGAUAGAAAACUCAUUGCUCUUGGGGAAAAUCAAGUAGGAGCCACGAAAUGUCAUUUUAGCAGAGCGUGGGUUUUGCGACUGUAGGAAAGGAUUUGAAGACGCUCCUUCUGUUCGGUUUCCUAUGUAACGAGCAAAGGCUACACGCACGCACAGACGCCACAGCUCCCGGAUGCUGUGGCUCCCUUAUCUGGGCUCCUGCAGCGCCAGAAGCCCCUUCGGGAUGCUGCGAGGGGCUCCCGGUGGGUGGUGGUAGGAACGCUGCGGCCGCGGCCACUCCAGCCGCUGCUGCUGUUGUUGCUGCUGCAGUCACGUGGGAGCCCCUUUAAGUUUCCAUAGAGAGGCCUCUCCGGUGUCACAUGAUGGACAUGAUAUAAUGAAACAACAUUGUGGAGAGGAAAGCAUUAGGGGAGCCCACGGCUACGAAAACAAGUGAGUGAGAAGAGGUGGGAGGAAGAGAAACUACGCCACCUCCCCUGCAGCCGAGCCGCACGCAGCAGCCAGCGAGAAGUGGGCGACGCCGGGGGGGAGGGGGGGCAGGGAGACGGGGUCCUCAGCCCCGGCCCGGGGACCCCGCCGCCCACCGCGGAGAGAACAACUUUUAGCCGGCAGCCUCGGCCACCGCCGCACCUGUCUCCGGAGCCUCCAUCGCUCCUCGUGACGAUCAAAGGGAAAUUCUAGAAGAAUAUGCUCUACAAAUAUACAUGCGCAUCAUUUUCCUCCUCGCGUCUGGCUCUGGAAGGAGGAAAGAGAAAGGGAUUCUAGCGGCAGCGUGCGUUCCGCCCCAAGGGAGAAAAAUCAAGACGUUCCACCCCGCCCCUCCUGUUUUAAAUACGGAUUCAGCUCGAAGCUAGGCUGAAGGGCAUUUUAUUAAUGCCUUUGAAGGUUAGAAGAUAUUUUACCUUCUGGAGUUUCUCUCACUCACCGAUGAUCUCAGCUCAAACCUGCCAGUUCAGGGGAGAUGAUCGAUAACACCCUCAGAUGAUCGACAUCCAAGUGAG
Long non-coding RNA from Leopardus geoffroyi (Geoffroy's cat), 1697 nucleotides. RefSeq lists it as uncharacterized. The transcript has 4 exons. NCBI's taxonomy places the organism in Eukaryota, Metazoa, Chordata, Mammalia, Carnivora, Felidae. The record is from RefSeq and is a predicted model, not a curated record.